GUGCCAGCCGCCGCGGUAAUUCCAGCUCCAAUAGCGUAUAUUAAAGUUGUUGUGGUUAAAAAGCUCGUAGUUGAACCUUGGGCCUGGCUGGCCGGUCCGCCUCACCGCGUGCACUGGUCCGGCCGGGCCUUUCCCUCUGUGGAACCCCAUACCCUUCACUGGGCGUGGCGGGGAAACAGGACAUUUACUUUGAAAAAAUUAGAGUGCUCUAGGCAGGCCUAUGCUCGAAUACAUUAGCAUGGAAUAAUAAAAUAGGACGCGCGGUUCUAUUUUGUUGGUUUAUAGGACCGCCGUAAUGAUUAAUAGGGACAGUCGGGGGCAUCAGUAUUCAACUGUCAGAGGUGAAAUUCUUGGAUCAGUUGAAGACUAACUACUGCGAAAGCAUUUGCCAAGGAUGUUUUCAUUAAUCAGGAACGAAAGUUAGGGGAUCGAAGACGAUCAGAUACCGUCGUAGUCUUAACCAUAAACUAUGCCGACUAGGGAUCGGACGGUGUUAUUCAUGACCCGUUCGGCACCUUACGAGAAAUCAAAGUGCUUGGGCUCCAGGGGGAGUAUGGUCGCAAGGCUGAAACUUAAAGAAAUUGACGGAAGGGCACCACCAGGGGUGGAGCCUGCGGCUUAAUUUGACUCAACACGGGGAAACUCACCAGGUCCAGACACAAUAAGGAUUGACAGAUUGAGAGCUCUUUCUUGAUUUUGUGGGUGGUGGUGCAUGGCCGUUCUUAGUUGGUGGGGUGACUUGUCUGCUUAAUUGCGAUAACGAACGAGACCUUAACCUGCUAAAUAGCCCGCAUUGCUCCGGCAGUGCGCUGGCUUCUUAGAGGGACUUUCG
This 832-nucleotide ribosomal RNA is filed under the name uncultured Ascomycota. Its description in RNAcentral is "SSU rRNA". It matches the Rfam family "Eukaryotic small subunit ribosomal RNA", at positions 564 to 1425 of the family's 1831-position model. Lineage: Eukaryota; Fungi; Ascomycota. The record is from RNAcentral.